GUAUAGAUUUACAUUCCAAGGUCAAAAAUGUAAGAUGUUUCAAGGCGCGUCGUGUUUUAUUGUUUGCCUUUUGAAGUAUUUUCAAUACCCGUACAGUUCGGUGGGGUUAGCACUCUGAGAGUCGCUCGGAAGUUCAACAUGUCAUUUGGAAAAUGAAGAACGGACGUCAAGCUAAAAUAAUUCCGAGUCAUACAAGAGUUUGACAGAAUUCAGAAUUGCAUUUUAAGUACAUCAAAUGAGCACGUAACCACCCCACUUUUUCUCCCCAUUCCAGGUCAGCUGUAACGUCGUCAGCAUGGGUUUUAUUCUCUCCAAAUCAAUGGACGCAAACUUGACUAAGCAGCAAGAGUUUAUGUUGCAUAAUUCGAGACUCCAGAAGUGCCUGCUCACCUGGGAUAAGAAAAGUUGCAGAGGUGGAACUACUAUCAAAGCGGCAGGUGUAGUUGUUUUUCUGCGAUGAUGCCACCUGUAUCCCAGAUGUGAUUCUGUAGAGGCCCUCCUCUGUCGUCACGACGCUGGUGCUUGUGCUGGCGUUGAGAUUUCGCCCGUGACCAUCCUCCCAAGCCACCGUAGACAUCGGGUAGCCCUCGGACUGGCAGUUUAACACAAGCUUGCCUCCGGUUACCGUCUUGGAAAUCGUUUUUGUGACUGUUUUAUAA
Long non-coding RNA from Syngnathus typhle (broad-nosed pipefish), 659 nucleotides. RefSeq lists it as uncharacterized. The record is from RefSeq and is a predicted model, not a curated record. The transcript is spliced from 2 exons. Lineage: Eukaryota; Metazoa; Chordata; Actinopteri; Syngnathiformes; Syngnathidae.